AGGCGGUUUGUCGCGUCUGCCGUGAAAGUCCGGGGCUCAACUCUCGGAUCUGCGGUGGGUACGGGCAGACUAGAGUGAUGUAGGGGAGACUGGAAUUCCUGGUGUAGCGGUGAAAUGCGCAGAUAUCAGGAGGAACACCGAUGGCGAAGGCAGGUCUCUGGGCAUUAACUGACGCUGAGGAGCGAAAGCAUGGGGAGCGAACAGGAUUAGAUACCCUGGUAGUCCAUGCCGUAAACGUUGGGCACUAGGUGUGGGGGACAUUCCACGUUUUCCGCGCCGUAGCUAACGCAUUAAGUGCCCCGCCUGGGGAGUACGGCCGCAAGGCUAAAACUCAAAGGAAUUGACGGGGGCCCGCACAAGCGGCGGAGCAUGCGGAUUAAUUCGAUGCAACGCGAAGAACCUUACCAAGGCUUGACAUGAACCGGACCGCUGCAGAAAUGUGGUUUCCCCUUUGGGGCUGGUUUACAGGUGGUGCAUGGUUGUCGUCAGCUCGUGUCGUGAGAUGUUGGGUUAAGUCCCGCAACGAGCGCAACCCUCGUUCUAUGUUGCCAGCACGUGAUGGUGGGGACUCAUAGGAGACUGCCGGGGUCAACUCGGAGGAAGGUGGGGACGACGUCAAAUCAUCAUGCCCCUUAUGUCUUGGGCUUCACGCAUGCUACAAUGGCCGGUACAAAGGGUUGCGAUACUGUGAGGUGGAGCUAAUCCCAAAAAGCCGGUCUCAGUUCGGAUUGGGGUCUGCAACUCGACCCCAUGAAGUUGGAGUCGGUAGUAAUAGCAGAUCAGCAACGUUGCGGUGAAUACGUUCCCGGGCCUUGUACACACCGUCCGU
This 829-nucleotide ribosomal RNA is filed under the name Arthrobacter pascens. RNAcentral's name for it is "bacterial SSU rRNA". It matches the Rfam family "Bacterial small subunit ribosomal RNA", at positions 573 to 1397 of the family's 1533-position model. Lineage: Bacteria; Bacillati; Actinomycetota; Actinomycetes; Micrococcales; Micrococcaceae. The record is from RNAcentral.